GAUGAACGCUAGCUACAGGCUGAACACAUGCAAGUCGCGGGGCAGCAUGAAGGAUGCUUGCAUCCUUUGAUGGCGACCGGCGCACGGGUGAGUAACGCGUAUCCAACCUGCCUGUUACCACGGCACAGCCCGUCGAAAGGCGGAUUAAUGCCGUAUGUGGUCCUUUGCGGGCAUCUAAUUAGGACUAAAGGUUCGGCGGUAACGGAUGGGGAUGCGUCCGAUUAGCUAGACGGCGGGGUAACGGCCCACCGUGGCUACGAUCGGUAGGGGUUCUGAGAGGAAGGUCCCCCACACUGGAACUGAGACACGGUCCAGACUCCUACGGGAGGCAGCAGUGAGGAAUAUUGGUCAAUGGGCGGAAGCCUGAACCAGCCAAGUAGCGUGAGGGAAGACUGCCCUAUGGGUUGUAAACCUCUUUUGUGCGGGGAUAAAGUGUGGGACGUGUCCCAUAUUGCAGGUACCGCAUGAAUAAGGACCGGCUAAUUCCGUGCCAGCAGCCGCGGUAAUACGGAAGGUCCGGGCGUUAUCCGGAUUUAUUGGGUUUAAAGGGAGCGCAGGCCGUCCUUUAAGCGUGCUGUGAAAUGCCGCGGCUCAACCGUGGCACUGCAGCGCGAACUGGAGGACUUGAGUACGCACGAGGUAGGCGGAAUUCGUGGUGUAGCGGUGAAAUGCUUAGAUAUCACGAAGAACUCCGAUUGCGAAGGCAGCUUACCGGAGCGCAACUGACGCUGAGGCUCGAAAGCGCGGGUAUCGAACAGGAUUAGAUACCCUGGUAGUCCGCGCGGUAAA
RNAcentral lists this ribosomal RNA (789 nucleotides) under uncultured bacterium. RNAcentral's name for it is "bacterial SSU rRNA". It matches the Rfam family "Bacterial small subunit ribosomal RNA", at positions 28 to 806 of the family's 1533-position model. The record is from RNAcentral.